CACGUAGGGUGCGAGCGUUGUCCGGAAUUAUUGGGCGUAAAGAGCUCGUAGGCGGUGUGUCGCGUCGGCCGUGAAAACCUGCAGCUUAACUGUGGGCUUGCGGUCGAUACGGGCAUCACUGGAGUUCGGCAGGGGAGACUGGAAUUCCUGGUGUAGCGGUGAAAUGCGUAGAGAUCCGGAAGAACACCGGUGGCGAAGGCGGCCUGCUGGGCAGUGGCUGACGCUGAGGCGCGACAGCGUGGGGAGC
Molecule: ribosomal RNA, 247 nt
Filed under: uncultured bacterium
Lineage: Bacteria
Description: partial 16S ribosomal RNA
Rfam family: Bacterial small subunit ribosomal RNA
Source: RNAcentral